Salvia splendens (bonfire salvia) is the source of this 2444-nucleotide RNA transcript. It is a transcript of the gene named B3 domain-containing protein Os03g0120900-like, with no coding region annotated. Lineage: Eukaryota; Viridiplantae; Streptophyta; Magnoliopsida; Lamiales; Lamiaceae. The transcript has 3 exons. The record is from RefSeq and is a predicted model, not a curated record.
ACCCCACCAAGAAAAUAACCUGCAUCCAUUAUAUUCACUCACACACCCACAGAUACAUUCAUUCUCACCUUUCUCUCUCUAAAAUCCUAUCUUUGUUUUUUCUUUAAUUUAUUUUUUCUCCCUUUCUUUCUCUACUCGCGAGAAAGGUCAACAACAUAGUAGAAGAGGAAGAAGUAGAAGUAGAGAAAACAUAGAUGAGAAUCGAGACGAGACUCAUUUUUUCAUCUCUCUAAAUCUCAAUUCCCUCUUUUCUCCAUCUUCCAAACCCUAAAUCGAUGCAGAUUUCGACUUAAUUCGACUCACUAAUUACCAUCAUGUCUUUCCAUCCGAGGCCAUACAGCAGCUACGGCGAGGGAGACGAGCCGGAGGAUCAGGCGGCGGCACGGCGCGAGGGCAGCAGCUCCGGCGCGGCGGCGGUGCAGCGCGAGCACAUGUUCGACAAGGUGGUGACGCCGAGCGACGUGGGGAAGCUGAACCGCCUUGUGAUUCCGAAGCAGCACGCGGAGAAGUACUUCCCCCUCGACUCCUCCGCAAACGAGAAGGGUUUGCUCCUCAAUUUCGAGGACCGCAACGGGAAGCCGUGGCGGUUCCGCUACUCGUACUGGAACAGCAGCCAGAGCUACGUGAUGACUAAAGGAUGGUCCCGGUUCGUGAAGGAGAAGAAGCUCGACGCCGGCGACAUCGUCUCCUUCCAGCGCGGCGUCGGCGAGCUCGCGAAGGACCGCCUCUUCAUCGACUGGCGCCGCCGCCCCGACGCACCGGAUCUCCACGCCUCGUCCAGCAUCCCCCACCACUUCUCCUUCCGCGCCCUCCACCACCACCCCUGGAGCCCCUUAUUCAUCCCGCCGACGCAGCCCGCGCCGCCGCCGCCGCGGGAGUAUCUCCACACGACGACGCACCACCACUACCACCACCCGCCGACGGGGUACGGGCCCUACGCGUACGGAAGUGUGGUGAACGGAAGCCCGUGCCCCCCGGGGUCGAUAGUGUACCUGAGGGGAGGAGCGGCGUUUGGAACGGCAGCGGCAGCGGGGCCGGGGCAGAGGGAGCAGAUGGUGUUCGAGUCGGUGCCGGUGGUCCAGGGAAAAGCUGCAGCAAAGCGACUUAGGCUGUUCGGCGUGAACAUGGACUGUCCUAUCUCUGACUCGGAUGAAUGCGAUAUACUGUCCUCCUCCGCGGCCCACCACCAGCUGCUGGCGGCGCCGCCCUCCCUCCGCCCGCAGGAUCACGACAAAGGGAAGGGAUCCAUGUCUUUGGAUUUGGAUUUGGAUUUGGAUAUUUAGAUUGCAGAAUUAUCCCUUUUGUCUUAAUUGCUUAUAUCUCUUCCACACCCACAACUACUGCUGCCUUCGCAGCUUUUGGAGAUGAGUAAAACACGACGCAAGAAUGGAAUCGGGAUAGAGAUUGAGAGAAGAUUAAGGUAUGUAUGUAUGUAUGUAUGUAUGUAUGUAUGUAUGUAUGUAUGUAGGUGAUGGAAAAAUAAUUAUGUGGAGAUAUAUAGAAGAAUUAGCAGUUUGAUUUGAUAGUGAGGGGGAGAGGGGAAAUUCAAUACUACAUCUUAAUGAAAACUUGUAGCAAUAUAAUUGGUGAGUUUGGUCCCUACAUGAGAUGAAAAGAGUAUAUCUAUAUCGUCAUCUCCACACAUGAUGUUAAAUGGUCAAUUACUUAGAAACCGAUGUUUCCUCUUCGACUUGACAAUAUCAUUUUUCCUCUACCUUGUCAUGUCAAUUGUGGCUGUGGCCCUAUUUUUAUUGUUUCAAGAUUGUGCAUUUUCAUUUAGGACCUAAAUUUUUAUGUUAGUUGCGAAAUCAUGAAGCUAGCUGAUGGUAAAUUCCACCAUUUUUGGCAUUAAUUACAAGUAUUUGUAAUUGCUGAGUAAAUAUACAUGAAGAGACUUCCCAUGAAUAUGUGAUUAUAUUUUAUAUUUUUUUCAUCUCAAUUCUAUAUGAAGGCUGUCUAUUUUGGGAGUAUCAAAUAACAGAAUGGCGUUAAAUUGAUAAAUCUCGAGCUAUGAGCAUGUAGUGCAAUCAGUGGACCUUUUUUCUACUUCUGGUAUUAGCUGCUUGUAUAACAAGUGAAAAGCUUUCUGCAUCUGUAUCUCUAGCAUAAAGAGGGGCAUAAUACACACACACACACACAUAUAUAUUUAUACAUUUUGUGUGUGUACUUUGUGAAAAAUUGUGCAGGACCAUGCUUUAGUUGCUUGCCAUUGCUGAUAUAUACUCGGUACCAAUAAUCUUCUUUUUUUUAAUGCUGAUAUAAAUGGAUAUUGUAUAACAUAUACACUGUGGCCACUCCAGCCUAUGAUUAUAGCACAAUUUAGUCAAGAAUCAUUACCUCAUUUUACUUUUGUAACAGAUCUAUAAGUAUGUGUGUGUUUGGAAUGAAACCUAGCUAAACUCUUGUGAAUAAUUGUAUUUGUGGUAUAUGAGUUUUUAUUUGAA